CACAGUUUGGUUCAUUUCUGUGCAUGUGUUGCUCGUUUCCCUAGUGGGCCAUUGCACUGUACCUGAUCAGAGAUGGAGCAGAGAUCGGAUCAUAGGAAGACAGCCUAUUUUCACUUCUGCUCCCAUGAAUGGAAAUGCUGAUGAUUGUUAACGGUUCUCAUUGCAGGUGUGCUUUGCUCCCAGCCUGUGUCUGCGCAGUCUGCAGGGUCACUCUGCUACAGGGGGUUCACAGCAGAGAUCUGGGAGGUGGUAGUGUGCUUCCAGUCGACAGCCAAAUCUGGCAGGUUCUCCAGAAGGCUGGACGUCAGUGGUCUGCGAUGAGAUGUAGUUCUCAAUGCCAGCUUCCGUCCUUCGUUGCUGCAAGGUGCCCCAAGGAUGGCAGGUAUUUCAGGUCACUGCAUAACUCAGAACUCAAGGUCACACUUCUUGAGAUGAUUAUGAAACCCCCAGAUGCUCAGCAUGAUAGUCUAGACAAGGCAGCAGAAGGAAGUUCCUCUGAUUGGGACAGAGAAGAAAAGCCCUUUGCAUGGACAGCU
RNAcentral lists this long non-coding RNA (536 nucleotides) under Struthio camelus australis. Its description in RNAcentral is "lncRNA (ENSSCUG00000005841.1)". The record is from RNAcentral. Lineage: Eukaryota; Metazoa; Chordata; Aves; Struthioniformes; Struthionidae.